AAGUCGUAACAAGGUAACCGUAGGUGAACCUGCGGUUGGAUCAUUAACAAAAUAAAUGAUGGGUCUUUUUUAAGACCUGUUAACACAAAGUUGAAUCCUGUAGUCUUUAAUGGGUUAAAAAGUUGUAAUUUCGACUGGCUUCAAAAGCUACCCAUUACUUUUAAACUCUUUUAAACAUUUUUACAAGUCACUUUAAAAUCUAUUAAAAAAUUUUAAACAACUUUUGACAACGGAUCUCUAGGCUCUC
RNAcentral lists this unclassified non-coding RNA (247 nucleotides) under fungal sp. Its description in RNAcentral is "partial internal transcribed spacer region". The stretch from base 1 to 46 matches the Rfam family "Eukaryotic small subunit ribosomal RNA", at positions 1786 to 1831 of the family's 1831-position model. Lineage: Eukaryota; Fungi. The record is from RNAcentral.